UACUCCAUGGGUCUUGCCUUACCACGUGUC
Molecule: non-coding RNA, 30 nt
Filed under: Mus musculus (house mouse)
Lineage: Eukaryota; Metazoa; Chordata; Mammalia; Rodentia; Muridae
Source: RNAcentral